UUUCUCAUGGCCUGAACUGCAUGAGGGCAAGUGUAUAAAACCUGCCUCACACUUGAGUUUAGAGAGAGGAGAACUGCUCAAGGAGAACAGCUGCACAAAGAUAUAGACUCCAGAUAACUAUAAGUAAUUAUUGCAUAUUCCCGUCAUUGUCCACAAAGAUGAAACUUGUCAUUCAGAGCAUCAUUCUCUUGGUCUGUGGGGUCGUUUGCAAUUCAGCAAUUCUGAAAUGCCAGUGUUUACGGACAUCCAAGACAGUACAGCCCUCUCUCAUCAAAAAAGUUCAGGAGAUUCCGCCUCGUCCAUAUUGUAGCAAGCUGGAAAUCAUAGUCACACUGAAAAACAAUGUCAAAGUGUGUCUGGACCCCACCCAUAAAUUUGCAAAAGCAGUCCUGCAAUCUAUAAAAGUGAAAAGUGAAAGACAAGCUGAAGUCAGAACAAUGGGGUCGACAACGACCACAACGGCAGCGACAGCAGUGCCAACAUGGUCAUAAUGCCUGUUUUUGAUAGAUGCUUUAAAAACUAAACUUAAACAUUUGAAGAUGAAUAAAGCUAGCUUUUGAAAAUGUCAGCGAUGGAAAAAAACAUUUUAAAAUAAAUAUUCAGCUAAAGUGAACUUCAGUACUUGCAGAAGACUGCAAAGAAUGAAGAAUAAUAGAAUGUUCUCCUCUGACUAUUUUAUAUGCUUUUAGUUACUCUCUGCUUAUGUAUGUAUAGUGAUUUAUGAAGCCAGUAAUAGUUUAAUAAUCUAUUUCCGAACAAACAAUUUUGCUAAAAUAUGUAACAUUUCUCUGUAAGAAAUGAAUUAUGCAUUUUCUACUGCACAUCUGUGUUAAAGGCUGAAAUCAUAAAGUGCAGGCACUUGAAAUUUUGUGUUAUAAUCAAUUGAUUUGUAAUAAAUGUAACAAAUGCUUAACAGUAA
This is a long non-coding RNA of Oryzias latipes (Japanese medaka), 919 nucleotides long. RefSeq lists it as uncharacterized. NCBI's taxonomy places the organism in Eukaryota, Metazoa, Chordata, Actinopteri, Beloniformes, Adrianichthyidae. The record is from RefSeq and is a predicted model, not a curated record.